This 710-nucleotide ribosomal RNA is filed under the name Gracillariidae gen. sp. 4 ex Cassia sp. RNAcentral's name for it is "SSU rRNA". It matches the Rfam family "Eukaryotic small subunit ribosomal RNA", at positions 486 to 1152 of the family's 1831-position model. Lineage: Eukaryota; Metazoa; Arthropoda; Insecta; Lepidoptera; Gracillariidae. The record is from RNAcentral.
CGGGACUCUCACGAGGCCUCGUAAUCGGAAUGAGUACACUUUAAAUAUUUUAACGAGGAACAAUUGGAGGGCAAGUCUGGUGCCAGCAGCCGCGGUAAUUCCAGCUCCAAUAGCGUAUACUAAAUUUGUUGCGGUUAAAAAGCUCGUAGUUGCAUUUGUGCGCCGCGCUGUCGGUGCAAAUCAUCCGAUUUGAUACUGACACGUUUGCGGAGCAUAUCGUCGGUGAGCUACCGGUCAAACGGUAGUUCAAUAUCAAAAUCCUAUCGCGGUGCUCUUCAGUGAGUGUCGAGGUGGGCCGACAAUUUUACUUUGAACAAAUUAGAGUGCUCAAAGCGGGCUCAAAACGCUGCUUGAAUAUUUCGUGCAUGGAAUAAUAGAAUAUGAUCUCGGUUCUAUUUUGUUGGUUUUCAGAACUCCGAGGUAAUGAUUAAUAGGGAUAACUGGGGGCAUUCGUAUUGCGACGUUAGAGGUGAAAUUCUUGGAUCGUCGCAAGACGAACAUCAGCGAAAGCAUUUGCCAAAGGUGUUUUCAUCAAUCAAGAACGAAAGUUAGAGGUUCGAAGGCGAUUAGAUACCGCCCUAGUUCUAACCGUAAAUAUGUCAUCUAGCGAUCCGCCGACGUUAAUCAAAUGGCUCGGCGGGCAGCUUCCGGGAAACCAAAGAUUUUGGACUCCGGGGGGAGUAUGGUUGCAAAGCUGAAACUUAAAGGAA